GGUUAAGCGACUAAGCGUACACGGUGGAUGCCCUGGCAGUCAGAGGCGAUGAAGGACGUGCUAAUCUGCGAUAAGCGUCGGUAAGGUGAUAUGAACCGUUAUAACCGGCGAUUUCCGAAUGGGGAAACCCAGUGUGAUUCGUCACACUAUCAUUAACUGAAUCCAUAGGUUAAUGAGGCGAACCGGGGGAACUGAAACAUCUAAGUACCCCGAGGAAAAGAAAUCAACCGAGAUUCCCCCAGUAGCGGCGAGCGAACGGGGAGGAGCCCAGAGCCUGAAUCAGUGUGUGUGUUAGUGGAAGCGUCUGGAAAGGCGCGCGAUACAGGGUGACAGCCCCGUACACAAAAAUGCACAUACUGUGAGCUCGAUGAGUAGGGCGGGACACGUGGUAUCCUGUCUGAAUAUGGGGGGACCAUCCUCCAAGGCUAAAUACUCCUGACUGACCGAUAGUGAACCAGUACCGUGAGGGAAAGGCGAAAAGAACCCCGGCGAGGGGAGUGAAAAAGAACCUGAAACCGUGUACGUACAAGCAGUGGGAGCCUCUUUAUGGGGUGACUGCGUACCUUUUGUAUAAUGGGUCAGCGACUUAUAUUCUGUAGCAAGGUUAACCGAAUAGGGGAGCCGAAGGGAAACCGAGUCUUAACUGGGCGUUAAGUUGCAGGGUAUAGACCCGAAACCCGGUGAUCUAGCCAUGGGCAGGUUGAAGGUUGGGUAACACUAACUGGAGGACCGAACCGACUAAUGUUGAAAAAUUAGCGGAUGACUUGUGGCUGGGGGUGAAAGGCCAAUCAAACCGGGAGAUAGCUGGUUCUCCCCGAAAGCUAUUUAGGUAGCGCCUCGUGAAUUCAUCUCCGGGGGUAGAGCACUGUUUCGGCAAGGGGGUCAUCCCGACUUACCAACCCGAUGCAAACUGCGAAUACCGGAGAAUGUUAUCACGGGAGACACACGGCGGGUGCUAACGUCCGUCGUGAAGAGGGAAACAACCCAGACCGCCAGCUAAGGUCCCAAAGUCAUGGUUAAGUGGGAAACGAUGUGGGAAGGCCCAGACAGCCAGGAUGUUGGCUUAGAAGCAGCCAUCAUUUAAAGAAAGCGUAAUAGCUCACUGGUCGAGUCGGCCUGCGCGGAAGAUGUAACGGGGCUAAACCAUGCACCGAAGCUGCGGCAGCGACACUAUGUGUUGUUGGGUAGGGGAGCGUUCUGUAAGCCUGUGAAGGUGUGCUGUGAGGCAUGCUGGAGGUAUCAGAAGUGCGAAUGCUGACAUAAGUAACGAUAAAGCGGGUGAAAAGCCCGCUCGCCGGAAGACCAAGGGUUCCUGUCCAACGUUAAUCGGGGCAGGGUGAGUCGACCCCUAAGGCGAGGCCGAAAGGCGUAGUCGAUGGGAAACAGGUUAAUAUUCCUGUACUUGGUGUUACUGCGAAGGGGGGACGGAGAAGGCUAUGUUGGCCGGGCGACGGUUGUCCCGGUUUAAGCGUGUAGGCUGAUUUUCCAGGCAAAUCCGGAAAAUCAAGGCUGAGGCGUGAUGACGAGGCACUACGGUGCUGAAGCAACAAAUGCCCUGCUUCCAGGAAAAGCCUCUAAGCAUCAGGUAACAUCAAAUCGUACCCCAAACCGACACAGGUGGUCAGGUAGAGAAUACCAAGGCGCUUGAGAGAACUCGGGUGAAGGAACUAGGCAAAAUGGUGCCGUAACUUCGGGAGAAGGCACGCUGAUAUGUAGGUGAAGCGACUUGCUCGUGGAGCUGAAAUCAGUCGAAGAUACCAGCUGGCUGCAACUGUUUAUUAAAAACACAGCACUGUGCAAACACGAAAGUGGACGUAUACGGUGUGACGCCUGCCCGGUGCCGGAAGGUUAAUUGAUGGGGUUAGCGGUAACGCGAAGCUCUUGAUCGAAGCCCCGGUAAACGGCGGCCGUAACUAUAACGGUCCUAAGGUAGCGAAAUUCCUUGUCGGGUAAGUUCCGACCUGCACGAAUGGCGUAAUGAUGGCCAGGCUGUCUCCACCCGAGACUCAGUGAAAUUGAACUCGCUGUGAAGAUGCAGUGUACCCGCGGCAAGACGGAAAGACCCCGUGAACCUUUACUAUAGCUUGACACUGAACAUUGAGCCUUGAUGUGUAGGAUAGGUGGGAGGCUUUGAAGUGUGGACGCCAGUCUGCAUGGAGCCGACCUUGAAAUACCACCCUUUAAUGUUUGAUGUUCUAACGUUGGCCCCUGAUCGGGGUUGCGGACAGUGUCUGGUGGGUAGUUUGACUGGGGCGGUCUCCUCCUAAAGAGUAACGGAGGAGCACGAAGGUUGGCUAAUCCUGGUCGGACAUCAGGAGGUUAGUGCAAUGGCAUAAGCCAGCUUGACUGCGAGCGUGACGGCGCGAGCAGGUGCGAAAGCAGGUCAUAGUGAUCCGGUGGUUCUGAAUGGAAGGGCCAUCGCUCAACGGAUAAAAGGUACUCCGGGGAUAACAGGCUGAUACCGCCCAAGAGUUCAUAUCGACGGCGGUGUUUGGCACCUCGAUGUCGGCUCAUCACAUCCUGGGGCUGAAGUAGGUCCCAAGGGUAUGGCUGUUCGCCAUUUAAAGUGGUACGCGAGCUGGGUUUAGAACGUCGUGAGACAGUUCGGUCCCUAUCUGCCGUGGGCGCUGGAGAACUGAGGGGGGCUGCUCCUAGUACGAGAGGACCGGAGUGGACGCAUCACUGGUGUUCGGGUUGUCAUGCCAAUGGCACUGCCCGGUAGCUAAAUGCGGAAGAGAUAAGUGCUGAAAGCAUCUAAGCACGAAACUUGCCCCGAGAUGAGUUCUCCCUGACUCCUUGAGAGUCCUGAAGGAACGUUGAAGACGACGACGUUGAUAGGCCGGGUGUGUAAGCGCAGCGAUGCGUUGAGCUAACCGGUACUAAUGAACCGUGAGGCUUAACCUU
RNAcentral lists this ribosomal RNA (2904 nucleotides) under Escherichia coli. Its description in RNAcentral is "23S ribosomal RNA". It matches the Rfam family "Bacterial large subunit ribosomal RNA". The record is from RNAcentral. Lineage: Bacteria; Pseudomonadati; Pseudomonadota; Gammaproteobacteria; Enterobacterales; Enterobacteriaceae.